CGGAAAUGUCCCCGAAUUGGACCGAGGUUUUGGCUAGCCCCCCAUUGUCAGACGUCCCUAGCGCGUUCCCGAAGUCGGAAUCGGCAAAGGUGAGCCAGGACAGCCUUCUUCCUCCGCCCAGCCGCCACAGUAAUUUGUCGUCAAGUUUGCCACAGGAGGAUAUUUUGUUCUGGGUUAACCUGCCUUUUUACCUCGCAGGUUGUUUAUCAAUAUUGUGUAAUUUUAAUUACUCCUAGAAUUUCCGCAUGUGUUAGCAGUAAUUAUUUGAAAUUGGUCUGUAAUAUUAUAUUCAUGUUGGACCUGUAAACUUAAUAUUUUAAGUCUGUUUGAUGGAUUGGAUGAGGGAGCUGAGCUCCCAUUUAUUAUUA
Long non-coding RNA from Hevea brasiliensis (rubber tree), 368 nucleotides. RefSeq lists it as uncharacterized. NCBI's taxonomy places the organism in Eukaryota, Viridiplantae, Streptophyta, Magnoliopsida, Malpighiales, Euphorbiaceae. The transcript is spliced from 3 exons. The record is from RefSeq and is a predicted model, not a curated record.